Molecule: signal recognition particle RNA, 298 nt
Filed under: Aotus nancymaae (Ma's night monkey)
Lineage: Eukaryota; Metazoa; Chordata; Mammalia; Primates; Aotidae
Description: Metazoan signal recognition particle RNA (ENSANAG00000009371.1)
Rfam family: Metazoan signal recognition particle RNA
About the family: The signal recognition particle (SRP) is a universally conserved ribonucleoprotein.
Source: RNAcentral
GCCAGGCACAGUGGCGCGUGCCUGUAGUCCCAGCUACCUGGGAGGCUGAGGUGGGAGGAUCGCUUGAGCCCAGGCGUUCUGGGCUGUAGUGGCUAUACCAAUCAGGUGUCCACAAUAAGUUCGGCAUCAGUAUGGUGACCUCCCGGGAGUGCGGGACCACCAGGUUGCCUAAGGAUGGGUGAAUCGGCCCAGGUCAGAAACAGAACAGGUCAAAACUCCCAUGCUGAUCAGUAGUGGAAUCGCGCCUGUGAAUAGUCACUGCACUUCAGUCUGGGCAACAUAGUGAGACCCCAUCUCU